CUCUGUCUUACUUUCUCUUUCCCAAAUGUUUUUGUUAUUUUCUUAUUUUUAGUUUUAUCUUUGUUACCUCUUUAAUCAUAAAUGCUCUUUCAUAAUCAACUUUUUAAUUUCCCUCUCUAUGCUUCGUGUUAGACUUAAUCACAUCAUUGCUUUUGUUACCCAAAAUGGCGGCAUACAGAAGUGGUUUUCACCUGCACUUGUAACUGGCGUUUGAGUAUUGUUGGCACACUCACCGGAAGAAUGUUCCCCUCCCCUGCCCCAAACCUCACAUCUUCAUCCUGAUUAGAUUGAGUUUCAGUUCUGCCAAGGACCACCCUGAAUUUAUUUUUUCUUGAAAGAUGGUUAGAAAGACACUUUUUCUUUGUCUGAAACUGUGUUUAUUAUUGAGCAAUAAUUUGGUUUGAUAUGGGAUUUGAUCUUAAAAAGUACCUUCCUUUGAAAUUGAUAUGACACUCCAUUGCCUUUAAGAACGAAAGUGGUCAAGGCUGGUCUACUUCUGAGGCUUUUGAAGGGAACCCGCUCUUCAUUUCUUCCUGGGCAGCUCUUGAGAGCAUCCUUCUAUCACUGCGUUCCAUGGUAGCUCAUCCAUUCUGGUUGUGUUGCUCCGUGUACCCUUCUGCAUGAAAAGUCAUCCUUCUUCAGCUUGUAACAGUGCAGCUUUUAUUUGAAAUAAAAGUUUAUCCUCCGUG
RNAcentral lists this long non-coding RNA (689 nucleotides) under Homo sapiens (human). Its description in RNAcentral is "HSALNT0355625". The record is from RNAcentral. Lineage: Eukaryota; Metazoa; Chordata; Mammalia; Primates; Hominidae.